UGGAACAUGCUGAUACAAGCACCCACUUGGAAACGUUGCAGAGGUGAAGUGCGCGCCCUUUCCGUGCAUUCACACUUUCCGGCUCUAAAUAUACACUUUGGGGCUCAACUUCGGGCCGUGCUGCAGUGCGUCACAACCAGGUCAGAGCCGUUCCUCCUCCUCGCGCUCGGGGCCGAGGCGCCCGCGCCGCGGCGCAGGGGUCACGCGUCGCCGCAGGUCCACCGUGUCGGUUACAAUGGCGCCACCACAACAGGAUUUGCUGCUGCAAGUUAGAUUAUGAGCUUAGUGGCUGCAGUGAGCGCAGGACACAAACACUGACAGGAGACGGACGGACCGCUGGAGGUUGGCGUGUGGGGGACACAGAGCAGAGAAGAAACGUCAGUGUGACAGGGAAGCACACUAAAACAGUGUCAAUUACAUUAGAGCGAAGAGGAGGCGAUGACGAUUUGUAAAUGGUCUGAAGACCUCCAUUAGUAUCUGCACGUGUGAUUUAUGGAGCCCAGUCGACUUCCGCUGAGGUCUAAUGUAACAGCUGAACGGCCAGGGCUGGAUUUAGCCCGGGUAUAAUGGAUAACUACACUCAGCUCUCAAACCGGCUGCAGCUCCGUCACUUUUAACGCGACGCUCCCUCACAGCCAGUAGCUGCUCCUGUUGAGGUUGUCCUGCCCUCGGCGCCGUCUCCAGCGACUCGGCCCCGCGGCCGAUCAUCCGUUCUGGAGCCGGUGCUGGACAUCAACGGCCUUUAAACCGCUCCGACAGGAGGGUGAAGACGCGUUUCCAUCGUCUGCCCGCGUUUCCCGUGAUUGUCUGGGAGGAUGAGAACAUCAUCAAUAACAGAACUUUAGGAAGCGAGUGGGUGUCGCACCAACUGCACGGACCUCCCACCAACGCCUCCGUGAGACUCCGGAAAAUUAAAUCCAACUCGAUCACGCCGCCGCGUGACGCUGGCGCAGCCGCAGCCUCCGAACACGAAGAACGGAGCAUUAGAAUGCGUCUGAGCUCAGAGACGAGUCUGGGAGGAGCUCCACCUGCUCCACCUGCUCCCACCGCGGCCCCAGAAGCACCCUCCAGCUUCCGAAGGCCCGCGAGGGUCCAUCUGCUGCUGGUCCAUACGUGGUCAAGUGUACGUUUACCUUUUGAAGGCAUCCGACGACUCAAUGCCAGCGAAUUACCAAGAAACAGUGAGGCUGCGAUUGCUGGCUCAAGCCAUUAAUUUCCCUGGAGAAAGAGUGCACUCUGCUUGGAGGGCCAGAGUGACCUUUCACUGACAGGACUGGAGCAGCAGAGACAGGCGGUGGACAAAUGAGAUAUUAGAAUGAAGGGAGUGGAGGAGAAUGCAGGCGGCCGCAUGUAUGGAUGCCUGACUUAUUUGCACAAGGAGCCGAUGCAGUGGAAUACGUGGACUAUUGUUUUAUUAAUAUGAUGUUGGUUUCUGCUGUCAACAGAUGUACUCACGCUGUGUUUUGGUCCAUUAAGAAAGAUGAACCUCUGAAUAAAUGUCAGCUUGCAGGCAAAUUACUUUUGGUGCUUCACUCAGAAGCAAUUGAUUGAAAACAAAGGAACUCUUACGAAGCGUCAAGAACCGAUCCAACGGCGACGGAAUCUGAGCCCAUAUCGUACGUCAGUCACAAAAUCACGGAGGGAGCGGAGGCUCGGAGCUUCUGAGGAUGCAAUUUAAAGGGGCUGAAGACAGAGGGGUUUUUUCUGGUGUCACAAACAUCUGAAUGUAAUUGUACAGAGCAGCUACUCGGGCUCGUCAGUCAGCAUGAAGCCAAAUGUGGAAAUGUUACAAAUAUCGCGUUUUCUUUCAAAGCGGUACUUGGUAUUCGGAGGAAGGGAGUUCUCCCAUUAGAGGUGAGACAGCGGCUGAGGCUCCCCAGCAAAGCGUGAUUGUUUGGCCACAGACCGGGUCAGCUUUACAUUCAGCUCAGGUUCUGGGCACAGCUGCAGCAUGUUGAGCACUGAGCUUUUAUUUAUGUGCGCAUGUGAAAAAUAGAUAAAACACAGA
This is a long non-coding RNA of Betta splendens (Siamese fighting fish), 2008 nucleotides long. RefSeq lists it as uncharacterized. The transcript has 3 exons. The record is from RefSeq and is a predicted model, not a curated record. NCBI's taxonomy places the organism in Eukaryota, Metazoa, Chordata, Actinopteri, Anabantiformes, Osphronemidae.